RNAcentral lists this long non-coding RNA (459 nucleotides) under Junco hyemalis (dark-eyed junco). RNAcentral describes it as "lncRNA (ENSJHYG00000015905.1)". Lineage: Eukaryota; Metazoa; Chordata; Aves; Passeriformes; Passerellidae. The record is from RNAcentral.
CCUGACAAGCACAACUCAUUUUUCUCAUCAAUCAGGGUACCUUUUUUUCAAUAUCUGUUUGUCACUGGAACUGGAGAAAAUUUACAUUGACAAGAUCUCUAAUAUUGCACUGUCUUUCACUGAAGAUUAUGGGGAUUCCAGAGGUUGUGUAGAACCAAGGAGAGGAGCACAGAGCUGUCUUUGGAAGUGGAGAAGCAUGGUCCCCUCCUGGGACCAUGGAGGAGGCAGUGUUCAAGCCAAACAGCUCCAGGAAAUGAUGCUGAGUUUCCACUUACAUGAUAAUUCAAACCUUGGUCACAGAGUAAAGUGACCAAAUUGUUUACCUUUGGAUGCACAUGGAGCACAAUUGGAUUGCAAUGAAUUUCAGGAACUGGCAACCAGAGUGUAUUUGAGGUGAGUGACCUAGAAACAAACUUGGUAUCUCAUUACUGUAAGCCAUCCAGUAUGAUUUACUUAGUG